This is a non-coding RNA of Pelobates cultripes (western spadefoot toad), 297 nucleotides long. The record is from the annotation of a GenBank genome assembly. Lineage: Eukaryota; Metazoa; Chordata; Amphibia; Anura; Pelobatidae.
AUAUCACUGUUACUGCUCCCACUGGAAGGCUAUUCCAGGUAUCUACUACCCUUUCUAUAUCACUGUUACCGCUCCCACUGGAAGGCUAUUCCAGGUAUCUACUACCCUUUCUAUAUCACUGUUACUGCUCCCACUGGAAGGCUAUUCCAGGUAUGUACUACCCUUUCUAUAUCACUGUUACUGCUCCCACUGGAAGGCUAUUCCAGGUAUCUACUACCCUUUCUAUAUCACUGUUACUGCUCCCACUGGAAGGCUAUUCCAUAUAUCUACUACCCUUUCUAUAUCACUGUUACUGCU